AUUGAACGCUGGCGGCAGGCCUAACACAUGCAAGUCGAGCGGAGCGGCGGACGGGUGAGUCAUUCCUAGGUAUCUGCCUGGUCGUGGGGGAUAACGUCCGGCAACGGGCGUUAAUAUCACAUCCUAUCAGAUGAGCCUAGUUCGUAUUAGCUAUUUGGUGGGGUUAAGGCCUACCUAGGCGACGAUCCGUAAACGGUCUGAGAGGAUGAUCAGUCAAACUGGAACUGGGACACGGACCAGACGCCUACGGUAGGCAGCAGUGGAGAAUAGUGGGCAAUGGGCGAAAGCCUGAUCCAGCGAUGCCGCGUGUGUGAAUAAGGUCUUCAGAUUGUCAAGCACGUUAAGGUGGGCGGCGUUACCAACAGAAUAAGCACCGGCUAACUUCGUGCCAGCAGCCGCGGUAAUAC
Molecule: ribosomal RNA, 407 nt
Filed under: uncultured bacterium
Lineage: Bacteria
Description: partial 16S ribosomal RNA
Rfam family: Bacterial small subunit ribosomal RNA
Source: RNAcentral